This 516-nucleotide ribosomal RNA is filed under the name Triticum aestivum (bread wheat). RNAcentral's name for it is "partial small subunit ribosomal RNA". Lineage: Eukaryota; Viridiplantae; Streptophyta; Magnoliopsida; Poales; Poaceae. The record is from RNAcentral.
GGCUUACCCGUGACGGCAAUAGUUCAACACACAUUUGACAAGAUGAAUGCGUACUUUGUAAAGUACUCGAUGGAAACGGAUGCACAGAUAGCGGGUGAGAACCCGCGCAAGUACAAGUAGAAGUUCCCACCCAAAGUUGAUGAAUGGUUGGUAUUUCAAUCACGGAAGGCGGACUCAGAAGAAGCUAUAUUAUAUGACAACGAAGAGUGGAAGUACGAAGUGAAAGAGCCAGGAGGAACCACAAACGAUGGCUGGCAACAUGGAGGUCGGGCUUUCAAGGUGUCGUUAACACAAUGUGAUUGCACUUGCGGGAGGCCAUUGUUGCUUCAUCUCCCAUGCUCACACUUGUAUACCGCCGGUCGCGUUAGGAAUGUGGACAUCAAUCACCCACGCACCGUGAGGGAGUCGGAGUUCUCAAUCAUGACGGUCAAGAAAACAUGGGCUCCCCGCUUUCACCCGUACUUUGACCAAUCACAAUGGCGAGAGUAUCAUGGAGUUCAACUAUGGCCGGAUCCG